RNAcentral lists this ribosomal RNA (497 nucleotides) under uncultured bacterium. RNAcentral's name for it is "partial 16S ribosomal RNA". It matches the Rfam family "Bacterial small subunit ribosomal RNA", at positions 28 to 507 of the family's 1533-position model. The record is from RNAcentral.
GAUGAACGCUGGCGGCGUGCCUAAUACAUGCAAGUCGAGCGAACAGACGAGGAGCUUGCUCCUCUGACGUUAGCGGCGGACGGGUGAGUAACACGUGGAUAACCUACCUAUAAGACUGGGAUAACUUCGGGAAACCGGAGCUAAUACCGGAUAAUAUUUUGAACCGCAUGGUUCAAUAGUGAAAGACGGUUUUGCUGUCACUUAUAGAUGGAUCCGCGCCGCAUUAGCUAGUUGGUAAGGUAACGGCUUACCAAGGCAACGAUGCGUAGCCGACCUGAGAGGGUGAUCGGCCACACUGGAACUGAGACACGGUCCAGACUCCUACGGGAGGCAGCAGUAGGGAAUCUUCCGCAAUGGGCGAAAGCCUGACGGAGCAACGCCGCGUGAGUGAUGAAGGUCUUCGGAUCGUAAAACUCUGUUAUUAGGGAAGAACAAAUGUGUAAGUAACUGUGCACGUCUUGACGGUACCUAAUCAGAAAGCCACGGCUAACUACGUG